This 434-nucleotide ribosomal RNA is filed under the name uncultured bacterium. RNAcentral's name for it is "partial 16S ribosomal RNA". It matches the Rfam family "Bacterial small subunit ribosomal RNA", at positions 29 to 507 of the family's 1533-position model. The record is from RNAcentral.
AGCGAACGCUGGCGGCAGGCCUAACACAUGCAAGUCGAACGAACCUUUCGGGGUUAGUGGCGGACGGGUGCGUAACACGUGGGAACGUGCCUUUAGGUUCGGAAUAACUCAGGGAAACUUGUGCUAAUACCGCAUGUGCCCUUCGGGGGAAAGAUUUAUCGCCUUUAGAGCGGCCCGCGUCUGAUUAGCUAGUUGGUUGAGGUAAUGGCUCACCAAGGCGACGAUCAGUAGCUGGUCUGAGAGGAUGAUCAGCCACAUUGGGACUGAGACACGGCCCAAACUCCUACGGGAGGCAGCAGUGGGGAAUCUUGCGCAAUGGGCGAAAGCCUGACGCAGCCAUGCCGCGUGAAUGAUGAAGGUCUUAGGAUUGUAAAAUUCUUUCACCGGGGACGAUAAUGACGGUACCCGGAGAAGAAGCCCCGGCUAACUUCGUG